This 104-nucleotide small RNA is filed under the name Aquipseudomonas alcaligenes. RNAcentral's name for it is "Pseudomonas alcaligenes Guanidine-I sequence". It matches the Rfam family "Guanidine-I riboswitch aptamer". From Rfam's summary of the family: This family represents a conserved RNA structure found upstream of the ykkC and yxkD genes in Bacillus subtilis and related genes in other bacteria. The function of this family is unclear although it has been suggested that it may function to switch on efflux pumps and detoxification systems in response to harmful environmental molecules. Nelson showed that this riboswitch senses and responds to guanidine and it was renamed Guanidine-I riboswitch. The record is from RNAcentral. Lineage: Bacteria; Pseudomonadati; Pseudomonadota; Gammaproteobacteria; Pseudomonadales; Pseudomonadaceae.
GCAAUGGCCGACUAGGGUUCCGGCUCGCCAAGCCCGGCGAGCGACUGGUCCGAGAGUGGGCGACCUCGACAGGGGUUACACGGCGGGACAAAAGCCCGGGAGAA